UAGGAUCUAGCUCAACUGGUAGAGCGGUGGUCUCCAAAGCCACUGGUAGGGGUUCAAGUCCUCUGGUCCUAG
This 72-nucleotide transfer RNA is filed under the name Gordonia phage Yvonnetastic. It matches the Rfam family "tRNA". From Rfam's summary of the family: Transfer RNA (tRNA) molecules are approximately 80 nucleotides in length. Their secondary structure includes four short double-helical elements and three loops (D, anti-codon, and T loops). Lineage: Duplodnaviria; Heunggongvirae; Uroviricota; Caudoviricetes. The record is from Rfam by way of RNAcentral.